ACUUUAUUGUAAAUAUAGGGGAGACCGGAGACAAAAGUAACACGGGACAAUAGUAACAUCGUCAAUAUUUCUUAAACUAUAACAGAUACAUGUAUGUGGCCG
Trachymyrmex cornetzi is the source of this 102-nucleotide long non-coding RNA. RefSeq lists it as uncharacterized. The transcript has 3 exons. The record is from RefSeq and is a predicted model, not a curated record. NCBI's taxonomy places the organism in Eukaryota, Metazoa, Arthropoda, Insecta, Hymenoptera, Formicidae.